Small nucleolar RNA from Spea bombifrons (plains spadefoot toad), 98 nucleotides. RefSeq annotates it as small nucleolar RNA U13. NCBI's taxonomy places the organism in Eukaryota, Metazoa, Chordata, Amphibia, Anura, Pelobatidae. The record is from RefSeq and is a predicted model, not a curated record. The transcript has a single exon.
AUCCUUCUGGUUCUUCUGGCAGAUGAGUGGGUUUUCACACAGUUGUGUGAUAUGUGCGUCCUGACCUUGUAACGGCUUUGCUUGUUACCCAUCUGACC